GUACACGAGCGGCGAACGGGUGAGUAACACGUGGGUGAUCUGCCCUGUACUUCGGGAUAAGCCUGGGAAACUGGGUCUAAUACCGGAUAUGACCUGAGGUUGCAUGACUUCAGGUGGAAAGAUUUAUCGGUACAGGAUGGGCCCGCGGCCUAUCAGCUUGUUGGUGGGGUAACGGCCUACCAAGGCGACGACGGGUAGCCGACCUGAGAGGGUGACCGGCCACACUGGGACUGAGACACGGCCCAGACUCCUACGGGAGGCAGCAGUGGGGAAUAUUGCACAAUGGGCGAAAGCCUGAUGCAGCGACGCCGCGUGGGGGAUGACGGCCUUCGGGUUGUAAACCCCUUUCGACAGGGACGAAGCGCAAGUGACGGUACCUGUAGAAGAAGCACCGGCCAACUACGUGCCAGCAGCCGCGGUAAUACGUAGGGUGCGAGCGUUGUCCGGAAUUACUGGGCGUAAAGAGCUUGUAGGCGGUCUGUCGCGUCUUCUGUGAAAACUUGGGGCUCAACCUUAAGCUUGCAGGGGAUACGGGCAGACUAGAGUACUUCAGGGGAGACUGGAAUUCCUGGUGUAGCGGUGAAAUGCGCAGAUAUCAGGAGGAACACCGGUGGCGAAGGCGGGUCUCUGGGAAGUAACUGACGCUGAGAAGCGAAAGCAUGGGUAGCAAACAGGAUUAGAUACCCUGGUAGUCCAUGCCGUAAACGGUG
This 710-nucleotide ribosomal RNA is filed under the name Nocardia sp. RNAcentral's name for it is "bacterial SSU rRNA". It matches the Rfam family "Bacterial small subunit ribosomal RNA", at positions 87 to 811 of the family's 1533-position model. The record is from RNAcentral. Lineage: Bacteria; Bacillati; Actinomycetota; Actinomycetes; Mycobacteriales; Nocardiaceae.